CCUCUUCCCCUCGCGGCUCAUGGCCCCUAUAUUGAGCGUGCCGGCAACGGCUAUGGCGAUAAAUUGCCAUCGUAAUAAACCCAUCGGACCCGGGGGCAGUACCCGGCGCCUCCACCAAAAACUCUCUGUUUACAGAGACUUAUGGGGGCGAAACAGGAUCGACGAGGGCGUAAAGGGUGUGUUUUCGCUCGGCAUGGUACCACCGUUAUCGGACUAAAACUUAUAGUUGCUAAUGACAACAAUAAGGCUCCGGUCGCUCUCGCCGCUUAAGCGGUGCGAGAACUGGGAAUUGAAGUCCUACGCUCCUAGCCGGGCAUAGGCGGGGUCCGCAGGCACCUGGCAACAGAAGCCUGCAUU
Pelagibacterium halotolerans B2 is the source of this 357-nucleotide non-coding RNA. It matches the Rfam family "Alphaproteobacteria transfer-messenger RNA". From Rfam's summary of the family: Bacterial tmRNA, also known as 10Sa RNA or SsrA, is named for its dual tRNA and mRNA-like properties. Lineage: Bacteria; Pseudomonadati; Pseudomonadota; Alphaproteobacteria; Hyphomicrobiales; Devosiaceae. The record is from Rfam.